UACGUAGGGGGCAAGCGUUGUCCGGAAUCAUUGGGCGUAAAGAGCGCGUAGGCGGUCCGGUAAGUCCGCUCUGAAAGUCCGGGGCUCAACCCCGGGAGGCGGGCGGAUACUGUCGGGCUAGAGUCCGGAAGAGGCGAGUGGAAUUCCCGGUGUAGCGGUGAAAUGCGCAGAUAUCGGGAAGAACACCCGUGGCGAAGGCGGCUCUCUGGGACGGUACUGACGCUGAGACGCGAAAGCGUGGGGAGCGAACAGG
Molecule: ribosomal RNA, 253 nt
Filed under: uncultured bacterium
Lineage: Bacteria
Description: partial 16S ribosomal RNA
Rfam family: Bacterial small subunit ribosomal RNA
Source: RNAcentral